UAAUACGUAGNUCCCGAGCGUUGUCCGGAUUUAUUGGGCGUAAAGCGAGCGCAGGCGGUUUGAUAAGUCUGAAGUUAAAGGCUGUGGNUCAACCAUAGUUCGCUUUGGAAACUGUCAAACUUGAGUGCAGAAGGGGAGAGUGGAAUUCCAUGUGUAGCGGUGAAAUGCGUAGAUAUAUGGAGGAACACCGGUGGCGAAAGCGGCUCUCUGGUCUGUAACUGACGCUGAGGCUCGAAAGCGUGGGGAGCGAACAGGAUUAGAUACCCUGGUAGUCCACGCCGUAAACGAUGAGUGCUAGGUGUUGGGUCCUUUCCGGGAUUCAGUGCCGCAGCUAACGCAUUAAGCACUCCGCCUGGGGAGUACGACCGCAAGGUUGAAACUCAAAGGAAUUGACGGGGGCCCGCACAAGCGGUGGAGCAUGUGGUUUAAUUCGAAGCAACGCGAAGAACCUUACCAGGUCUUGACAUCCCGAUGCUAUUUCUAGAGAUAGGAAGUUACUUCGGUACAUCGGUGACAGGUGGUGCAUGGUUGUCGUCAGCUCGUGUCGUGAGAUGUUGGNNNAANNNNNGCAACGAGCGCAACCCCUAUUGUUAGUUGCCAUCAUUCAGUUGGGCACUCUAGCGAGACUGCCGGUAAUAAACCGGAGGAAGGUGGGGAUGACGUCAAAUCAUCAUGCCCCUUAUGACCUGGGCUACACACGUGCUACAAUGGUUGGUACAACGAGUUGCGAGUCGGUGACGGCGAGCUAAUCUCUUAAAGCCAAUCUCAGUUCGGAUUGUAGGCUGCAACUCGCCUACAUGAAGUCGGAAUCGCUAGUAAUCGCGGAUCAGCACGCCGCGGUGAAUACGUUCCCGGGCCU
RNAcentral lists this ribosomal RNA (859 nucleotides) under uncultured bacterium. RNAcentral's name for it is "bacterial SSU rRNA". It matches the Rfam family "Bacterial small subunit ribosomal RNA", at positions 521 to 1381 of the family's 1533-position model. The record is from RNAcentral.